This 23-nucleotide small nuclear RNA is filed under the name Arabidopsis thaliana (thale cress). RNAcentral's name for it is "snRNA_15050". Lineage: Eukaryota; Viridiplantae; Streptophyta; Magnoliopsida; Brassicales; Brassicaceae. The record is from RNAcentral.
GUCGUCAUCAAUGAUGGGAUUAG